GAUGAAGAACGUAGCGAAAUGCGAUACGUAAUGUGAAUUGCAGAAUUCAGUGAAUCAUCGAAUCUUUGAACGCACAUUGCGCCUGCCAGCACUCUGGCAGGCAUGCCUGUUCGAGCGUCAUUUCAACCAUCAAGCCCUAGGCUUGCGUUGGAGCCCUGCGGCUGCCGCAGGCCCCUAAAAGCAGUGGCGGGCUCGCUAUCACACCGGGUGCAGUAGAUUACUCUUCGCUCAGGGCGUGUGGCGGGUUCCAGCCGUGAAACCCCCUACUUCUCAAGGUUGACCUCGGAUCAGGUAGGAAUACCCGCUGAACUUAAGCAUAUCAAUAAGCGGAGGA
This 334-nucleotide unclassified non-coding RNA is filed under the name soil metagenome. RNAcentral's name for it is "partial contains 5.8S ribosomal RNA, internal transcribed spacer 2, and large subunit ribosomal RNA". The stretch from base 1 to 120 matches the Rfam family "5.8S ribosomal RNA", at positions 35 to 154 of the family's 154-position model. The record is from RNAcentral.